RNAcentral lists this ribosomal RNA (426 nucleotides) under uncultured bacterium. RNAcentral's name for it is "partial 16S ribosomal RNA". It matches the Rfam family "Bacterial small subunit ribosomal RNA", at positions 354 to 796 of the family's 1533-position model. The record is from RNAcentral.
GUGAGGAAUUUUCCGCAAUGGGCGAAAGCCUGACGGAGCAAUGCCGCGUGAAGGAUGAAGGCCUAUGGGUUGUAAACUUCUUUUCUCAGAAAAGAAUUAUGACGGUAUCUGAGGAAUAAGCAUCGGCUAACUCUGUGCCAGCAGCCGCGGUAAGACAGAGGAUGCAAGCGUUAUCCGGAAUGAUUGGGCGUAAAGCGUCUGUAGGUUGUUUAAAAAGUAUUCUGUCAAAGAUUAGGGCUUAACCCUAGAUAGGCAGAAUAAACUUUUAAGCUAGAGUUUAGUAGAGGCAGAGGGAAUUCCCGGUGGAUCGGUGAAAUGCGUAUAUAUCGGGAGGAACACCAAAGGCGAAGGCACUCUGCUGGGCCAAUACUAACACUGAGAGACGAAAGCGAGGGGAGCAAAUGGGAUUAGAAACCCCGGUAGUCC